RNAcentral lists this ribosomal RNA (253 nucleotides) under uncultured bacterium. RNAcentral's name for it is "partial 16S ribosomal RNA". It matches the Rfam family "Bacterial small subunit ribosomal RNA", at positions 524 to 776 of the family's 1533-position model. The record is from RNAcentral.
UACGUAGGGUGCGAGCGUUAAUCGGAAUUACUGGGCGUAAAGGGUGCGCAGGCGGUCCUGCAAGUCAGGCGUGAAAUCCCCGGGCUUAACCUGGGAAUGGCACUUGAAACUACGGGACUGGAGUAUGGCAGAGGGAGGUGGAAUUCCACGUGUAGCGGUGAAAUGCGUAGAGAUGUGGAGGAACACCGAUGGCGAAGGCAGCCUCCUGGGCCAAUACUGACGCUGAGAAGCGAAAGCAUGGGGAGCGAACAGG